This 361-nucleotide long non-coding RNA is filed under the name Trifolium pratense (red clover). RNAcentral's name for it is "long non-coding RNA (TPRA_LNC014156)". Lineage: Eukaryota; Viridiplantae; Streptophyta; Magnoliopsida; Fabales; Fabaceae. The record is from RNAcentral.
GGGAUGGGGACCCAUUAAUUCAUUAUUGUGUAUUUCAGGUUCAUUCACGUAUGCAUGCACUCAUCUAUUCAAUUAUUAUGUGAAAAAAGGGAAAUUUUGUACACUUUGUUUGGGCACCGGCUGUUUUUACACCAAAACUGAUAUAUGUGGUCCUUCACCGUUCUUUUUUGAUUUUCAAAAUUAUUGAUUUCCAAUUAAAAAUAUGUACGACCAUUAUUGGAGACUAAAUAGGAAUAUAGUGCUACUAUUUGUGAUGAUGAUGUUGUGGCUCCAUCCUCCCAUACUUAAAUACUUUAGACCAUUAAAUUGGAGUACAAUCAAUUAACAAUACAUAUACCAUCAUAUUAUGGGAAAAAAAAAA